UUCGCUGUCAUUGGGGAGUAGCCGCCCUUCUUCAUUGAGAGGGGCUUGCGUCAACAGACUUGCCUGGCCAUCACCGGCCACCAUGGCGCAAGCUAAGUCCUGCAACAGGAUUUUGGCGAGACCUUUGACUGCGCACCUCCGUUUUUGGCCGGGGAUGCUGCGCAGUCAUUGGUUUCAUCAACCGGCCGGAGAC
Molecule: small RNA, 193 nt
Filed under: Rhodoferax antarcticus
Lineage: Bacteria; Pseudomonadati; Pseudomonadota; Betaproteobacteria; Burkholderiales; Comamonadaceae
Description: Manganese sequence
Rfam family: Manganese Mn2+ riboswitch aptamer (yybP-ykoY)
About the family: This RNA was originally discovered in E. coli during a large scale screen and was named SraF. The family was later found to exist upstream of related families of protein genes in many bacteria, including the the yybP and ykoK genes in B. subtilis.
Source: RNAcentral